Peromyscus californicus insignis is the source of this 8895-nucleotide long non-coding RNA. RefSeq lists it as uncharacterized. The transcript is spliced from 4 exons. The record is from RefSeq and is a predicted model, not a curated record. Lineage: Eukaryota; Metazoa; Chordata; Mammalia; Rodentia; Cricetidae.
AUUGUACAUGUGGCCUUAGGUACCUCACUAUCAUGGUGACUCUUUGUAAAGGACUUGGGGAGAACUACUGACUCCUGCCUGCCCCAAUCUCUGCACUUCAAUGAAUCACUGGCAAAAAGAACAUCAUCUUUUCCUCCCAGUGGUCACCUUCCUGAUUUACUAUAUCUCUAUAACUUGAGUCUUGGAGUUUACAACAGGUCUUAAAAUACAAUUUCAAGACAUACUGUGUCACUGGAGAACAUGGCCUUUAGGGAUUCAAACAGAAGUCAACUCAUUGGCCUUUAUUAGUACUUAGCAUGAGCACUAUGGUGUUUUAAGUAUAGUGAACAUUGCAAAAAUAAGAUAAAGCCAAGUCAUAAAAGACUCUAUAACUAGGGAAGUAAAAUUAAAAAUCAGAUGGGAAAGAAGGAAGAAGUUCUAGGACAUUGAACUUGCUUGAUGGCUAUAAAACACCCUGAAACACAUGAGAUGUCGAGACAUUGAGAAAGCCCUGACAAUGAUGUCAUGAAUUUAGCUGGGUCAUUAAAGUCUAGCAGAAGUGAUGAUAUGGGGAGAAUUGGAAAUAACAGGUGCCAGGCAAACCUGGACACUCUCAAGUGCACCAUGCGUUUAAAGGACAGAGAGAGGCAGACUCAGAUCACAGUAUGGAGGCAGCUCUUCCCAAAGCAAGAAUCAGUUCAAGAAAAUGGGGACAGAACCAGUGAUUAGACCUGUAGGCCCCUGGGAACUGCACAGCAUAGAGAUGAUACUGCAGAGUCAGGGCAGGACUGUGUGCAGAGAUGAAAGCUCUCCUUCAAGAGAAAUGGGCUAAAGGAGUCUGAAGGUCAGAAUGGCAGCCUUGCACCACCCUGAGUAGGGAAACCAGCCGACAAAUCAGACUAUGCCCUCACUGAAGCAAUACAAAUCAGACUUGCAUUUUAUUGUCUAGCCAAAUGCUUUGUCACUCUCAUUAGCUCCUCCACCCUCUGCUUGUGUCCACCUCUGCAAAUCAAUGAGCAAAGAACACCAACUCUAGUGCAGCUGUCUUGAUCCUAGAAUCAGCAAACCUCUGUGUCAAUGUUAUCCCAUUACUCCUUGUUUCUCUGGCUGGUUUCCUAGUCUCAAACCAAGGACAAUUCCUGCCUGCUUGCUUUGUUCUGGAAGACCUUUUACUCAGCAAACAAUACCUCAUGCCUGGGAAGAGGAUUAUAUGGGUGGAUGUGUUCUGUUUCCUCAUUGCCCAAAUUUUAGGCUUUUCUCUGAAAAAUUGAAAGUAAAGGAGACAUUCAUCUCCACUAUCUAGAGCUACAGUGAUGUUUUAACCUACUGAAAUUUAGAUUUAUCUAAAUUAGAUUCAGUUAAGUUCUCUCCUCUGUCAUCCCUGUUAGAAAACAUGCGGGCUUGCUUUCUAGUUGAUGAAAGAGCUGAGAUUUGAAGUGUAACUCUUUAUUCCCUCAGCUUCCAUCCCUGCUUCCUCCAAACAUUACACCCCUCCUCAUUCUGACAUGCUCACUAGUCCUCAACAGGGAGGUGGCCCAGCCUUGAUACAGUAAGCAUGGAGGGAGGGGGUGAUGGAGGGGGGGCAGCUUUGAGCUGAGAUUAACAAGCUGCUUCCCUGGGACACCACGUAGGUUUAGCAGUGAUUUUCCUCAAAUGUGGUAUGAUCUGGAAUUUGUAGAAGUUUAUUCUUAGCUCUUUCCUUUGGCUUCUGCAACAUGUUAACAGCUUGUGCAUUUUGUAAUGCCUUCUCUCAUUGCCAUGGUAACCAUUAAAACUUAAGGUAUAUUUGACUGGAGAGCUGGCCCAGGUAUUGGUUGCUGGCAUGCUGGAAGACAGUACAAAUGAAACGACACCAGGCAGCUGCUUGUUACAGUUCAAGGUAAGCCAAUCCAGUCGCAUAUAAUAAGCCCAAGCUUACACAAGCAGGCGAAGGAGGCCAACAGGAAGAGCAGAAGGGACGAGGAACAAGAGGAUGAAAACCGCAGCUCUGCAAAGGAAAAGCACUGUUUGCCUCCAGUGUCCGGAGUGAAAGCCUUCAACUGCAGACUGCUGCAAUUUCUACCCUAAUAGUCAACUAGCAAUUAGAACUGUUUGUUACAGUGACAGCCAGAGAAGCAUUUCAAGCAACAAGGCAGAAGCAGAGGAGCCAGAACAAGAGCCUGCUCAUUUGAAGGGGACUAUCGCCACACAGCAGCAAGUCCUGGGAUAGCAGGCAAUUUGGGGAGCAUGGCUGCAAGAGCUCAGCUUUCACACACAUGAGGCUGCAACUUUUGAGAAAGAGCUGAUCUUUAUUUUGCUGGAAGCAAAGAAAAUAGGAAUCCUUGUUUUGGUGUUUAGAAAGAGAUAUUCCACAUUCUAACUCAAUAUCCUAAUAGUCUAAUCUGAUAUAAGAGGAUGGAAUAAAUUGGGAACUUUAAUUGUCAGUUAUGGAUUUGAGACAGUGUUGCAGGGCUCAGGAAACAUCUCACAAUAAGAACCUUGCAAUGGAGUCCUGUUUACUUUACAAAAUGGGGGGGGGAUAUUUGAAAUAGUAUCUCUAGUAUCUUCAUCUGUUAUGUGUUCUUCAAGUAUUCUGUAAAUUAUGUUUAAGUUUAAUUGACAACUUGGGAGGAAAUGUUGUGUUUGGUGCCACAUUUUUUCUCCCUGUUCUUCUUUCUUGUUUUUUUUUUCUUCCAAGUAUUCUAGUCUACACUUUACAAAAUUAUAAUUAAAUUCUGUUCUUGAUUUCAGCAAUUAAAAGAGAAAAAAGCUUCACCCCUGGACUUGUAAGUUGUCUUUGGAAGCUAUCUCUUCCUCUGAAAUAAACCAAGAAUCCUACUUCUUUUCCUCAAAGAAACCAUCAGAGAAGCUUUAAACACUGCAGGGUAUUUGAUGUUCUCGAAGAGAUGUAGUUUUCCUCCUUUGUUCAAGAGCUAUUAUUAAGUAGAGAUUCAAUAAAUAGCCAAAUGCAGGCAAUUCUUAGACAUUGAGUAAGCAUCUUGCUAGAUACUUUUGUGUGCACUCAUUUGAAUGUAUUAUGCUUUCUAUUCUCUAAUGAGAAGAGUCAGGUGACCAAGCAGAACUGUGGACAGGCAGCUUUAGGAGGGAGCUGACACAGGCUGGGUGGGUUUACACAGGUUGUUAGGCAAGUCUUGGUGCUGCUUCCAGUGUCUUCUCGGAAGCAAACACUCCAAAUGCAGGAAAAGAAUAUUGCCGCUUUUUCUCUUUUGUUUUAGUAUGGAUGGGGUCUCUCCCCCUUUUAUUUAUUUUGCAAGUACGCAACUGCUCUGCAGCAGCUCUUUCCAGAGUCAGAGGUGAAGUCACGCUUGACUGGAGACAUCUAAGAUCAAUUUGUUGCCUCAUACUUCAACAUUAAAUGCAGCUUGAAAUAUAAUUGUUAGUCCAUGCACUCUCAGCUCUUAGGAAGUGUUCCAGCACCUCAGAACAGAGAGUGUGGAUAUUGAUGAUAAGCCAAAACGUGUACCCUAAACCACAGCUAAACAGAAUUUUCAGGUUCAGAGAUACAUAUAGCUCUAAGGAACAAGUUGGGGAGAAGGCAGAACAAAAGGCAGAAGGAAAACACACAAAAAGACAGAGCUUUGGGACUCUCAACCCUGAUGAGUGGAAAGCACACAGUCAAAUUUGGGGAUUUAGUUCAGUGGUAGAGUGCGUGCCUAGCAAGCACAAGGCCCUGGGUUCGAUCCUCAGCUCAAAAAAAAAUUUGGAAAAUUGCAAAUAAAAUAUAUUACACAUAAAUCAUUUUUCUUUUUCUUUUUAUUGCUAUUGAAAAAGUUCUACAACCCCCUUUUCCUUAGACAGCUUCACAAACCCUGAUUUGGAGGAUGACCAUUCAGUCUAGUGACGUCUGGUUUCUAUUUUGAGGAACUUUGGCUCACUAGCAGCCUGGUCUGGGAGGAAGCAGCAGGUGAGUCAGCACUGGGAAUUGAAUGACUAAGUCUUCUCACACCCCUCUGGAAUCAAGCUCUCAGAUUCUGCCUGUCCUCUCUGAUUAAAUUCUCUGAAGAAUUUUUUUAAAAAAAGUAAACAUACAAUCUCUGUGGCUCCAUAACUUGUGAGGGAACAUGGAAUCCAGGGCUUAUGAAGCUGAUCCUAUGGUAGGUCCAUUCUGUGAGAAUCCAAAGUUACAGUGUUUCCUUGGGUGGAAAAGAGAAGAUACUGUUAUAUUAAAUAUGGCAGUUCCAUGGUAACAUGAUCCUUUUUAGACAUAUAAGAGAAUUACUGAUUUAUGAUCUACCUAUCUCCAGAGUGGAAAGGACCUCCAAUGACAAAACACACAAGACAUAAGAGUCUUGACUUUUCUUGUUAAUAGAAGUGUUUUCUAGCUGACUGGCAGCAUAGAGUCCUGGAUACCAGUAAGGUAGGAUAUAUGAACCUGCUUCAUCAACAUGUUACUUUGUGACCUCAGACAAUUUGCAGCCCCCACCACACUGUGAUUUGCCAUUAGUUCAAGAGACACAAUUCUGUUCCCAGUAAGGGAUUUGUAGGAUAAGCUUGUCAGUGCAACAGAUUCCUAUUCAAAAUACCCAUUUGUAACAAGUUCAUUCAACAGCAUGCAAAUAUCCUUAGAAUCUCUCUGUACUUUCUAGGUCACUCAUUAAGUACAUGUUGGUGACACAUAGCCAUGGUAUGGAAAGUUUGAGCAUAGGAAUCUUCUUACAUCUCAUACCUUUCAAUAAUGCUUUGUCUCCAGGAGAAUAGGGGUCUUCUGCCAGCACCAGACCCUGUCCUGUAUACUUUCACUUCAGUCUUGCUGGCUUUCCAUAAAGAAAAAAAAAUCUGGCAGGAUCUCCUGUGACCCAGUUAGUGAGUAAGCAACAUGAAAUGAAAAGCUGAAUUACCAUAGUCACAAGAAAACCUAGAAGCCAAAACUACUUUAAAAAGUAUUUGCCAGGUUUAUGAUGCACAAGGACUUGGGGAAUCUAUGCCAGCAUGUGCUAUACAACAACAACCAGUCUUCACAAACCCAGGUUGAGAAUGGAGCCCCACAAAGAGCACUUGCUUUGGUGCCUGGAAUCCACAAAACUGUAGACUCAAUCUCAUAAAAAAAUGAAAUUGAAAGCCUUGGACAACUAGACAAUUCCACAAAGAAACCGAAAGAAAGAAAUGAAUGAAAUGACUGCUUCUAGGUGUGGUGGAGGAGAAGGAUUUUCUAGAUAUGAAGAAGAACACAGACAGAGACAUCUGGAAGGGUCCAGACUGAACCAACCACGGGAAUGUGUGUGUGUACCAGAAGCCAAGAGGCCAGGAGUGAGCCAGGAGAUCAAGAGACCUACUUGCCAAAAUGACUGAUUUAUAUAGGGAAGAGAAGCUAGGGCCUUCCCAUGAUGGGCCUGAUGCUGAUCACACUCCUCAGAUGGCUGGAUGUCCUCAGAAACGCACUUGCUGUUGAUCCCAGGGGAAUGCAGGGUUGUAAGCUUGCUCUGCUUAUAUACAUUAUGAGAAUGCUAUCCUUGUGAACUGUACUUGGAGUUAGUGUUCACAUGCACACAAACACGCAUGUGCACACAUGACUGUGCACCAAAAACACAUACACAAUCUCGACCGGUAUUGAUGAUAAAGACUAAGACAAUAUGUACCAAUUGUUUAAGCAGUUUCUAUCUUAAACCUCUCCAGGUAAAGUCACUUCAUGGUAGAAGACAACUAAGUGGAUCAAUAGUAACACAACUACUAAUAAGCGGAAGGGCUUGUGUUCAGUCUUUUGAUCCUAUAUUCCAUUUGUUCUAACACAUCAGUCUGCCUUUGAUAUCAUCUUACUUGGUUAUCAAGGACCUAGUUCAAAUCUUUAUUUCCUUAUGAUGUCUUUCUGAAUACAUCAAUUUACACAAUUCUCUUCUUUGAAGUAUGUGAUGACAAUAAUGAUGAUUUUCCACGUGAUAGAUUUUGAAAGUCUUUUUCAGUGUACAACGUGGUGAUGUAUAAUUAAUUACGAAAUUUUAUGUUAAAGUAUUUAUUACUAACAAUAGAACUGUAUUUUUUAGUUAAUUCGAAUAAUUAUAUUUCUGAAAGUGUGUUGUAAACUUUGGAAGGCAGAAGGUAUCUUCCACAUUCUCUCUCUGUUCUUGCAGCAUCCAAGUGAUCUUUAUUCCCACUGAGGCUAGUUACAUACUACCUGAGCAAUCAAAGCCAGCUAUGAGUCACAGUAAGUUAAAUACAAGUGAGUCAUUAGUUGUAUCCCUGCCUGCCCACUGUUGUUGCUUUUGUGGCUACUGAGUUUCAAUUCAGAAUGUUUUUGCUUCUCAAAUGCUUAGGAAAUGCCAAGUCUUUUCGAUUCCCAGAAUUCUCAAUCUUCAUUUGUGCCAGCUUUUAGGGAGGCCAAGGAAGCCUAAUGUGGAGAAUAAUUUUUAAAUCUAUUUGUUCCGUAUUGCUAAUGUUGCAUGUUGAGCCAAAACAUAAGCAACAUUCCACCAGCCAUAUUGUAAUAGAUGAUAAAACUGAGAAUUACAUUAACAACAUAAUCUAAUAGGUGUACCUGAGAAAGUAUGAAUGCACAUGGUCAUUUUCUAAAAUAUGCACUUGAAAUGCCACCCACUUGGACAGCCGUGGAAAUGGGGAAGGAGGGGGAAAGAAUCCAUCCCAAAGGAGCAUCUGGGAUCCUGUCCUAGCAGUUAUCACCCUUCUGGUACCCUGCUGCGUUCAGGCAGCACAGGCUGCAAUCUGGGAGAGUUCAUUUCAAGUUAUCAUCUGAACCUAAAACCAAGGUUACACCUCAAAUGUGAGUACAAAAUUCCUCCUGAAAAGGCUUACAUUCUGCUAAGGCAAUGGUUCUGUAGUUUGUUAUAAUAGAUGGAACAUUUUUAAGAAACAUUCUCAGCCUUAUAUGAGAAGUUAAAGAUAGAAGCUAUUUCUAAUAUUUUUAGAGAAAAAAAAGAGUUUUAACUACCUGAUGUACUUCACUAUGAUAAAACAAGACUAAGAGCAAUCUCAAGAUUUUUUCCCACAGCUAUAUCCUUAUCUUCAUAAGCAUGGCAGAAUGAGUAAGGGCUCAUCUCAACAUUGGCUCUCAAUCUUUGCAUUACCAUGUGAUCAAUACUGUGGGAUACCAUCAAAGGAAAGUGACAAGGUUGCUCUAGAGCUAAGACUGCAUGAGUGGGUCUCAGGAGGACAACUGAUGUGGGGGAGGGCGAGCACUGAGCACUUAGGUGGCUAUUAGGAGACAUCAUACUUCACAUUUAUAGAUUUCUACCCUUCACUCUCCCAUGUCUUUUCUGAGUCCAUACUAACUAGUAUUUCCUGAAAGGUGGUGAAGAGAAGCUAUAGGAAAGCAUGUGUCUACACUGAGGAGACAUUUUGACCUUAUAUUCCAGACUAGAGAGGUAUCUUCAUGAGGGGGUUGCACAUGUAACUGUAAAGGUUCAUUAUCAUGUAUUCUGGAACCAGAGUAGAAGUUCCUAACAUCCUUAGACAGGACAGUCAAAUGGAGAAAAACAACAGUUGCAUAAGGAAAGUAAAUAUAUUUACACAAGCAACUGCUUUGUUCUUUAAAAGUUAAAACCAGAAAACAAACUGAAAAUAUUUGGCAAAGGAAUAGAUUCCUAACAAAGUACAAGGGGAUUGCAGGAGGCCAGUCAAAGCACACACCACAUCCAAGCCUCCAAGAAGGCUCAGAAGCUGUAUGGACUAGUUUACACUCUAACUCCAAGAUGAAACAUGGACCAAAGCAACUUGGGGAGGGAAGGAUUUACCUGGUUUGUAGUUUACAGUGUCAGAGCAGGAACCCAAGGAAGGAACACGGAAAUAGGAACUUAAGCAGAAACCAUGGAGGAAUGCUGUUGGCUGGUUCAAGUUUGGUUAUCUUUCUUAUACAGCUCAAGGCCAUUUGCCCAUUAGAGGGCUGUGCCCUUUAAUAACAAUUGUCAACAAAGAACAUACUCUACAAACACAUCCACAGGCCAAUAUGAUGGACACAACUCCUCAGUAGAGGUCUCCUCCUACCAAGUGUGUGCCACUGACAACCAAAGCUAACUAUGACACUGACACAAUCAGAACUGAAACUGCAUAAAAAUAAGUUCUGUGGGGCCUGGGCUUGAGGAAAAUCAAAUCAUACAAGAGGACCGUGGAAACGUCAAAGAAAUGUGGCAUAUGUGAGGGAUGUUACUAGAUAUUACCUCUUGAGGUGAACACAAUUAGCUGACAGAAGACUAGGGUUGAGAUGAGAUGAGCUCAAUGCAUUCUCAAGUAGAAUGGAGAAUUCUGAGUAGUGAAGGAAACAUCUUACAGGUAUCAUCAAUGGACAAAAUGUUAUAAAUAUUGAAUUACAUGAAAAUUUGUGAUGGUUGAAUUUAAAAUCUUCGGUAAUUUUAAAAGUAAAUAUAAAAACAAUAUUGAUAACAAGUUAUACAACUAAUAAUCAAUUAUUAAUCACUUAUCCAAAGACACUGAAAUACAUUUUUUAAAACUUAGUUGUGAACUAAGUAUUUAUUCUCAAUCUUGAAUAAAGAUGUAAUUUUGUUCAAUGUCUUGAUUCAUGCCUUUGGUGGUAUUUGCCUUUAUCAAUACCAGAAACACUUUAAGGUGAUUUAGACUAUUAUAUUAAUCCAUAGGAAGUUAUCCACUUUCAACUUGUUUAAUAUAAAAACCGUGAGCCAAACAAGACACCAAAUAAACAAAAUGAAUAAGUAAACAAAAAGACAAAGAAAGUUGCCCAUGGUUCAAUCCAAAACUUUUACCAAGCUAAGUAUCUUCUACUGGAAAUCAGUGAAUUACAAUACAAUCAAUAGAAAUUUCUCACACAGCUCCAAGUCUUUAUAUUAAUAGAGUUAGAUCAGGUUUAAACCAAAGGUGUUUUUUCAGCGAUAUCACCUAAUUUCCUGACACAUUACAAAAUCAUCUUCAAGUAUCUCAUUUACAAUGGCCAACACAUGGAGGUACAAAUAUGUAGAAUGAUGUGGAGAUGUGGAGAUUUCAGCUAAUUUUUUU